RNAcentral lists this ribosomal RNA (253 nucleotides) under uncultured bacterium. Its description in RNAcentral is "partial 16S ribosomal RNA". It matches the Rfam family "Bacterial small subunit ribosomal RNA", at positions 524 to 776 of the family's 1533-position model. The record is from RNAcentral.
AACGUAGGUUCCGAGCGUUAUCCGGAUUUACUGGGCGUAAAGCGCGUUCAGGCGGUUUGGCAAGUCGGGUAUGAAAUCUCUCGGCUCAACCGGGAGAGGUUGUCCGAUACUGCUGGACUUGAGGGCAGUAGAGGGUGGUGGAAUUCCGGGUGUAGUGGUGAAAUGCGUAGAUAUCCGGAGGAACACCAGUGGCGAAAGCGGCCACCUGGACUGCACCUGACGCUGACACGCGAAAGCUAGGGGAGCGAACGGG